GCCAGGUGUGGUGACACACACCUGUAGUCCCAGCUACUUGGGAGGCUAAGGUGGGAGGAUGCCUUGAGCCCAGGAGGUUGAGGCUGCAGUGAGCCAUGAUCGCACCACUGCACUCCAGCCUGGCCGACAGAGCGAAACUCUGUCUCAAAAAUUAAAAAUAAAAAUAAAAUAAAAUAUUCCUUUUUUUUUUUUUUUUUUUUUGAGACAGUCUCGCUCUGUCGCCCAGGCUGGAGUGCAGUGGCACAAUCUCGGCUCACUGCAAGCUCCGCCUCCUGGGUUCACGCCAUUCUCCUGCCUCA
This 299-nucleotide small RNA is filed under the name Pongo abelii (Sumatran orangutan). Lineage: Eukaryota; Metazoa; Chordata; Mammalia; Primates; Hominidae. The record is from RNAcentral.